RNAcentral lists this ribosomal RNA (434 nucleotides) under uncultured Lachnospiraceae bacterium. Its description in RNAcentral is "bacterial SSU rRNA". It matches the Rfam family "Bacterial small subunit ribosomal RNA", at positions 341 to 792 of the family's 1533-position model. The record is from RNAcentral. Lineage: Bacteria; Bacillati; Bacillota; Clostridia; Lachnospirales; Lachnospiraceae.
ACGGGAGGCAGCAGUGGGGAAUAUUGGACAAUGGGCGAAAGCCUGAUCCAGCGACGCCGCGUGAGUGAAGAAGUAUUUCGGUAUGUAAAGCUCUAUCAGCAGGGAAGAAAAUGACGGUACCUGACUAAGAAGCCCCGGCUAACUACGUGCCAGCAGCCGCGGUAAUACGUAGGGGGCAAGCGUUAUCCGGAUUUACUGGGUGUAAAGGGAGCGUAGACGGUUAAGCAAGUCUGAAGUGAAAGCCCGGGGCUCAACCCCGGUACUGCUUUGGAAACUGUUUGACUUGAGUGCAGGAGAGGUAAGUGGAAUUCCUAGUGUAGCGGUGAAAUGCGUAGAUAUUAGGAGGAACACCAGUGGCGAAGGCGGCUUACUGGACUGUAACUGACGUUGAGGCUCGAAAGCGUGGGGAGCAAACAGGAUUAGAUACCCUGGUA